AUGGUAAGUCGCAGGGGGCAACUUGAGAGCUUGCAGCAUGAGGGCAAAGAUGUGGGAAUAAGGAAUCAGUAUUACAUAAAAGUUCUCGAUGCUAGUUGUUUCUUAAAAUGUGAAAAUAUAUAUGACCAUGGUCGUUUGGCACAUACUGCUAAGUGCAUACAAGAAAAACUGAAUGUUUUUUUCGUCUGGCCAUUCCAGCAUCGACAUAAACGCUCAAAUCAAUUCAACCUGUUGUUUCUUAUCUACAGGGACUCACGGUCAAACAAGAAAGCUAUUCUCUGGCCACUGAUGUUGAGGCUACCUACACGAUGCAGGACCGUGUCAUCUACAACAAACAUGGUAACCAUAUUAUUAAUAUUUCAUCAUAACCAAUUUUUAUUAUUCCAUGAUCAUCUCUUUCCAACUAACUUGUACAUGCCAGUGUCUCUGCAAAAAGCACAGGCAACUACUUGA
This 453-nucleotide ribosomal RNA is filed under the name Triticum aestivum (bread wheat). RNAcentral's name for it is "partial small subunit ribosomal RNA". Lineage: Eukaryota; Viridiplantae; Streptophyta; Magnoliopsida; Poales; Poaceae. The record is from RNAcentral.